RNAcentral lists this long non-coding RNA (5230 nucleotides) under Mus musculus (house mouse). RNAcentral's name for it is "predicted gene 9917 (Gm9917)". The record is from RNAcentral. Lineage: Eukaryota; Metazoa; Chordata; Mammalia; Rodentia; Muridae.
GAGUUUCCCGAGCAGGAUGGUAGUGGUGAGAUAGGAUACUGCCUGAUAUGGGGAGCCUUGGCUCCUGGACAGGAACCUAACUCCUGGCUUUUUACAGGGAUGACAGUUGGUCUACAGAACCGCAAAUCUAUGUUGAACAGGCUAAGACUUGACCAGUUCCAGCUUUGAGCAACUUGAAGGCCAACUGCCCUGAGUUGAUGAACUCCUGCUUCCUAAUUGGGUUUUUUUGUUUGUUUGUUUUGUUUUUGCUUUUUAAAAACGUCUUGAGUUUAUUAUGGCCAAAGGCUAGGCGAGCAGAGAACCUGCUCAUAGCCGACCUUGAGAAACGUAGGCAGAACGUCCAUUGGCGGCAGAGGGCGGAGGAGGUGUUGGGCCGAGCCCUACGAUAGAGGCUGCAGCAGGAGCCUGUGCUCUCCCUUCUGAUGGCUGCCUGGGAAGUCAGACACUAUUCUCGGAGGUCCAACUUCACAGUGAGGAAGGCAAGACACCUAAACAGAAGGUCAUCUUCCCUUAGAUUUCUUCUAAGGCUUAGAAGAACAGAAGGGACAUAAAUGCCUUUAAUUUGCAGGCUGAGUUGGAUGAAAGGGAGGUUUUAAGACUCUUAGAGGCCGUCUUAGCUGAAUUAUGGAGCUGCUCCCUAAGAGACGAACCUCAGGCAAUUCUCUAAAAAGACCAUCUGGGCGGUCAAGAGCUGAACGCCGCUUGGUUUUCCCUUCUCCUUGCUUUGACUGGGACCCAAAAUAUGACAGUCGUCUGAUUCAAAUGUAGGGGGGCGUUUCUCAUUCCCGGAUGUCCUCCCAAAGGCAGAUACCCAUGCCCUUACCCGCGGCGCGUGAAUACGAAGGGAGGCACUGCUCGGGCUCGAGACCGCACCAGAGACUGCUCGGAGCCUGCCGCCUCUGGGCCGCCGCCCCCCGGAGUGGAGGCAAAGGGCCAGAGGCCCCGAGCUUUGGAGCCGCUGGCGCCCAUGUCAGCGCCGCGGGCGCAUGGCGGACCCAGCGGCCGCUCCGCUCUCACAGCGCGGCGGGCGCGACCAUGCCCUGCCCCAGCUUCCACUCGCAGGUGCCGCCGCCGCCGCCUUCCGCAGGCUCUGCUGUCUCCACGGAAACCUCACUUCCGCUUCCGCGCGUCCUGCACGGUGCCUCCUCUGAGUGGCUAAAGGUCUCGUCAGUCUGUGGUGUAGAACCAAUGGCCACUCUCAGAGGCUGACCACCACAGGAUGCGCUGCCUCCAGGUCCCAGAAGCCUAUGGGUCCCAAGGGUCAGCUGGGACAGCUCCCUUCCAGAAAGGCGGAGGUAAUGUGUUGUUGUUGACUUUAAGGUCGGACCCGGUAUAGUUGUCUCUACGUCCCUGACACGCCCAAAACUCCGGCCCAGUAGCAAUAGUCAAUUAGGUCACCCCUCCACCCCUAAGGGACCUUAGGCCUGUCUGAGGCUAAGGUUGGCUGUUUUCACAACUGUGUCUUUGCAGUUGUCACAUUUGCCUGUAAAGAAACUACGGAUCUUGCUUAAUGUUUUUGUUUUCUUUUUUCUUUUGGAGACAGGGUCUCACUAUGUAGCCUUAGCUGGCCUGGCACUUGCCAUGUAUAAAUGGCUGACGCUCAAAUGCCUGUCUCCCGAAUACUGGGAUUAAAGGAGUGACCAACCGCACAGGGAGCCAAACUUCUUUUUAAAACUUUUUUGAUCAAUUUCUUAAGAGUAUAUUUGAGGUCUGAAGGAACCUAAACUAAGUGUUGUAAGUUCACCAGAGAACAUUCUUCAGGAAAAUAAUUAUUACCAGCUUUCCCCUGGUAGCAUGUGAAGUGUGGGACCCACGAGUAGUUUUUUGGAGAAGGGGUUACUGCUAUGGUUUCUCUGAGUUGGCCUGGAGAAAAAAGUUUCCUGUGUAGUAACUGUAGCUUAUUCUUGUCUCUUCAUGACCUGAGCCCUGGAGGGUUGAAAGACACCUGAAUCCACAGGCAUACAUUUCCUGAACAUAUUGGUCCCACUGCGACCUUGGAGAGGGUGCACUCUGGAUGUGUCAAUCUUUGUUGGCAGUCUUUCAUUAGGUGUUACCCCGACUGGGGGCCCACAUCUAUAGAGUCCAAAACCAGAAAAAUUCUUACAUCUUUAUUCAGCCAAUUCUCUCAGGCAUCAGGCCCUGAUGAUGACUGUCACACCCCCAUCCCUUCCCCACAUUCAGUUGAGGCCACAAAACAUUACAUACAUUCAUACACUUCCAUCAAAAAUAUCUGAGGGAGACUCUGGCUUUGGCAAACAAGAAGAGGGUCUGGUCCAGCAACCUUUCCCUUAGAGGAGGCACUGACUGAGCCACUGUAGUUGUUGUACUGGCCAGCCCUCUCUGACCCCAGGGUGUUUGUUUGGAAGUCAGAAGGCACGGUAAGAGGGAACCCCAGACUCUACCUUAAUUGCUUGUAUUAUUCUGAGCAGCUACCCUUGGCUCUGAUAGGGCUAUCCUGAGACCCAUUCAUGACUCAAAACAAUCUUUCUCCAUAGGUAAGGUCUCUUACCCGUGAAAAUAUAACCUUGUUUUGUCUGUAGAGUCUCUAAGAUUCUCACAGCUGCGACCCUGUGACUUGAGCAGCUACGCAGAGUAUGACCCAGUACAUACGGGCAGAGGGAUGCAAAGCCCCGCCCCACUAUAUCCACAGGUAGACGGCUGGCUCUUUCCCUGUUCUCUGGGCUCAUCCCGGUCAGCAGAGGAGGACCUCCAUGCACACGCACUCCUCAGGCCCCACAGGCCCUGUCACACUCACACGGCACGCUCUUUGCACUGCCUGUUCUCCUCCUGUCAUCCAUGGAGACCCAAGGUCACCCCAAAGGACAGGCGUGCAGAGCCUCCUGGAUCUUCUGGCGACAACGAGAAUACUUCUGCAGGAUCUGGCGAAGGUGUUCCUCUUCUUCCCGCUGCAGGAUUCGUAGGAAAUUGUGCAGUUCAGGCAUGCUGAAGGCAUCCCACUGGAAAGGGCAGAGGAGAGAUACACGGGCUGCAGCAAUGAAUAGCUAAGUUGGCAGACCCUCCUCCAAGACUGGUCCAUGAUGGUUCUCCCAUGAGCAGGUCUGCGCUCCUGACAUUACCUCCUUUUCAUUUUAUUAUUAUCUUAUGUGUAUGCAUGUUUCCACAUAGAGGUCAGAAGAAGGUAUCAGACCCCCCAGAAUUAAGAGUUACAGAUGGUUGUGAGCUGCCAUCUGGGUGCUAGGCAUCAAACCCAUGUCCUCUGUAAGAACAACAUGUACUCUUAACCACUAAGCCAACUCCUUUUGUUGUUGUUUAAUGGUUUUAUAAUUUAUUUAUGUGCAUUGGUAUUCUGCCUGCAUGUAAGACUGUGAGGGCAUCAGAUCCCCUGGAACUGGAAUUACAGACAGUUGUGAGCUGCCAUGUGGGUAUUGGGAACUGAACCCCAGGUAUUGAACCCGGGUCCUUCAGAAGAGCAGCCGGUACUUUUAAUUGUUGACCCAUCUCUCCAGCCCUGCUAAGCCAACUCUUUAAGUCCCCUAUUUUUUUUGUUGUUUUUUUGAGUCAUAGUCUUUCUACAUAUCAAAGGUUGGCCUUUAACAUGCUAUGUAGUCCAGGCUAGUCUCAAACUUGUGAUUCUCCUGCUUCUGCUUCCGGAACGCUGAGAUUACAAGUAUUUAUCACAAUGCUAGCCUUGGUGUUAGGCUUUUCACUAAAUGGUCUGUGCUAGGAUCCUCAUGAGCAGUCUGUAUAGAAAACAGAUCCUACAAAACAGUCUCCUUGUAGUGAAAUAUCUCUAUCUGUUGUUAGGUGUAUUCUCCUGCAUAGUCUCAUAUUCUCUCCCUCAAUAUAAUGGGCUCUGAUUCAAACCUAGGGUCUCAUAAAUGUUAGCAAAUUACCUUUUACCAAGCUACAUUCCCAUACAGCCCUUGUACCCACCCUAUUCUUUUUCUUUUCUUUUUUUUGCUGCCGAGCUCUGUGCAUGCUGAGCGUCUAUUCUUACCACUAAGCCACAACUAACCCCGAUGUAAAAAGUCAUUGUCCUUUUUUUUCUUUCUUUUUACAUUACUGGAAAUUGCACUGUGCUAUCUAGUUUUCGGCUAACUUGACACAAGUUAAAGUUAUCUGAAAAUAGGGAAUAUUAAUUCUCUAUUAAUUGAAAACAAUGCCCCCACAAGCUAUAGCUUUAAGGCAUUUUCUUAAUGAGUGACUGAUAGGGGAGGGCCUAGCCCAUUGUGUAUGGUGCCACCCCUGGGCUGGUGGUCAUGGGUUCUAUAAGAAAGCAGGCUGAGCAAGCCAGUAAGCAGCGCCCACCAUGGCUUCCACUUCAGCUCCUGCCUUCAGGUUCCUGUCCUGUUUGAGUUCCUGCCCUGACUUCCUUCAAUGAUGGAUUAUCAUAUGGAACUGUAAUCCAAAUAAAUAAACCUUUUCCCCACCAACUUGGUUUUGGUCAUAGUGUUUCAUCAAAGCAAUAGAAGACCUAACUAAGACAUGAACAAAGGGCUAAGCUUGCUCAACACUUUACCACUGAACUACAGUCCCAAGCCUUUUUACUUUUGAGACAGGAUCUCAUUAAGUUAGCGUAGAUUGCCCUUUAAGUCACUCUGUAGCCCAGGAAGGCUUUGAACUAGUGAUCCUCCCACUUUAGCAUUCCAAGUAGUUGAGAGUAUAAGCCACUGUCCCUAGGCCUUGCUAGGAAGAGUGGUUUGUUUGUUUGUGAGAUAGGAUCUUGCUAUACAGGCCAGCCUAGUCUUGAACUUGAGGCAAUCCUCCUGCUUUAGCUUCCCAAGUAGAUGAGAUUAUAGGCCUGUGCCAUCUGUCCUAGCUGGCAGACCGUCUCAAUGCUUCCAAGAGGCCUUUAUGUUUUUCAGGUUAUACCUGCAAAGCUUUUUUCUUUUUCUUUUUGUUUUAAGGUUUGUUUCAGGGGCUCGAAAGAUAGUUCAGUGGUUAAGAGCAUUGGUUGCUCUUGAAGAGGACCAGAGUUCAAUUCCUAGACCAACAUGGUGGGUUCCAUCAUCUGUAACUCUGUUCUAGGAGAGCCAACACCUUCUUCUUACUUCUGUGGGCAUGUGUACACAUAUAUACAUGCAGGCAAAACAUUCAUACACAAAGUCUUUAAAAAAAAAUCUGUUUUAUGUGUAUAAGUGUGUUGCUUGCACGCACGUAUGCACAUUGUGUGUAUGGUCUGCAAUUAUUGGCAACUGUAAGCUUUUACAUGCGUCUAAGAACCAAAUCCAGGUCCUCUGCAUGAACAAUACAUGUUUUUAACCACUGA